GCUGAUUAGGGCUCCUCAAGGAGGCUGAUGACCUUCUUCUCCCUUUCACAGAGGGAUGAGGAAUGGCCAGUGCCUGGAUGUCCUGAUGUUGGGAAGAGCAGGACGUGGAGCUCGGAGCACUGGAGCGGUGCAUUACGCCAUAACUGCAGGCAAUCACUACGGAGAUGUUUAGUCUGGAAGGAUCCACAGAAUGUAUUUCUCACACCGCCUACUUGCUGCAAAGCAUUCUCCAAUGACUUAUUUAAGACCUAA
This 252-nucleotide long non-coding RNA is filed under the name Chrysolophus pictus (golden pheasant). Its description in RNAcentral is "lncRNA (ENSCPIG00010011816.1)". Lineage: Eukaryota; Metazoa; Chordata; Aves; Galliformes; Phasianidae. The record is from RNAcentral.